This 468-nucleotide ribosomal RNA is filed under the name uncultured bacterium. Its description in RNAcentral is "partial 16S ribosomal RNA". It matches the Rfam family "Bacterial small subunit ribosomal RNA", at positions 28 to 507 of the family's 1533-position model. The record is from RNAcentral.
GACGAACGCUGGCGGCGUGCUUAACACAUGCAAGUCGAACGGAAAGGCCCUGCUUUUGUGGGGUGCUCGAGUGGCGAACGGGUGAGUAACACGUGAGUAACCUGCCCUUGACUUUGGGAUAACUUCAGGAAACUGGGGCUAAUACCGGAUAGGAGCUCCUGCUGCAUGGUGGGGGUUGGAAAGUUUCGGCGGUUGGGGAUGGACUCGCGGCUUAUCAGCUUGUUGGUGGGGUAGUGGCUUACCAAGGCUUUGACGGGUAGCCGGCCUGAGAGGGUGACCGGCCACAUUGGGACUGAGGUACGGCCCAGACUUCUACGGGAGGGAGCCGUGGGGAAUAUUGCACCAUGGGCGGAAGCCCGAUGCAGCAACGCCGCGGGCGGGAUGACGGCCUUCGGGUUGUAAACCGCUUUCGCCUGUGACGAAGCGUGAGUGACGGUAAUGGGUAAAGAAGCACCGGCUAACUACGUG